This 250-nucleotide ribosomal RNA is filed under the name uncultured bacterium. RNAcentral's name for it is "partial 16S ribosomal RNA". It matches the Rfam family "Bacterial small subunit ribosomal RNA", at positions 524 to 773 of the family's 1533-position model. The record is from RNAcentral.
UACGUAGGGGGCAAGCGUUAUCCGGAUUUACUGGGUGUAAAGGGAGCGUAGACGGUGAUGUAAGUCAGAUGUGAAAACCCAGGGCUCAACCCUGGGACUGCAUUUGAAACUAUGUUACUAGAGUGCAGGAGAGGUAAGUGGAAUUCCUAGUGUAGCGGUGAAAUGCGUAGAUAUUAGGAGGAACACCAGUGGCGAAGGCGGCUUACUGGACUGUAACUGACGUUGAGGCUCGAAAGCGUGGGGAGCAAAC